AAGUAGCGUGAAGGAUGACUGCCUAUGGGUUGUAAACUUCUUUUAUACGGGAAUAAGUGAGCCACGUGUGGCUUUUUGUAUGUACCGUAUGAAUAAGGAUCGGCUAACUCCGUGCCAGCAGCCGCGGUAAUACGGAGGAUCCGAGCGUUAUCCGGAUUUAUUGGGUUUAAAGGGAGCGUAGGCGGGUUGUUAAGUCAGUUGUGAAAGUUUGCGGCUCAACCGUAAAAUUGCAGUUGAUACUGGCGACCUUGAGUGCAACAGAGGUAGGCGGAAUUCGUGGUGUAGCGGUGAAAUGCUUAGAUAUCACGAAGAACUCCGAUUGCGAAGGCAGCUUACUGGAUUGUAACUGA
RNAcentral lists this ribosomal RNA (350 nucleotides) under uncultured bacterium. RNAcentral's name for it is "bacterial SSU rRNA". It matches the Rfam family "Bacterial small subunit ribosomal RNA", at positions 394 to 743 of the family's 1533-position model. The record is from RNAcentral.